ACGGCUCAGUAACACGUGGACAACCUGCCCUUAGGUUGGGUAUAAACCCGGGAAACUGGGUAUAAUACCCGAUAGGUCUCGAUUGCUGGAAUGCAUCGAGAUUUAAAGCUCCGGCGCCUAAGGAUGGGUCUGCGGCCUAUCAGGUAGUAGUGGGUGUAGCGUACCUACUAGCCUACGACGGGUACGGGUUGUGAGAGCAAGAGCCCGGAGAUGGAUUCUGAGACACGAAUCCAGGCCCUACGGGGUGCAGCAGGCGCGAAAACUUUACAAUGCUGGCAACAGCGAUAAGGGAGCCUCGAGUGCCAGGUUACAAAUCUGGCUGUCGAGAUGCCUAAAAAGCAUUUCAUAGCAAGGGCCGGGCAAGACCGGUGCCAGCCGCCGCGGUAACACCGGCGGCUCGAGUGGUAACCGUUAUUAUUGGGUCUAAAGGGUCUGUAGCCGGCCGGAUAAGUCUCUUGAGAAAUCUGGCAGCUUAACUGUCAGGCUUUCAGGAGAUACUGUCUGGCUCGAGGCCGGGAGAGGUGAGAGGUACUUCAGGGGUAGGGGUGAAAUCUUGUAAUCCUUGAAGGACCACCAGUGGCGAAGGCGUCUCACCAGAACGGACCUGACGGCAAGGGACGAAAGCUAGGGGCACGAACCGGAUUAGAUACCCGGGUAGUCCUAGCCGUAAACGAUACUCGCUAGGUGUCGGCCACGGUGCGACCGUUGUCGGUGCCGUAGGGAAGCCGUGAAGCGAGCCACCUGGGAAGUACGGCCGCAAGGCUGAAACUUAAAGGAAUUGGCGGGGGAGCAC
RNAcentral lists this ribosomal RNA (793 nucleotides) under uncultured Methanotrichaceae archaeon. RNAcentral describes it as "bacterial SSU rRNA". It matches the Rfam family "Archaeal small subunit ribosomal RNA", at positions 85 to 879 of the family's 1478-position model. The record is from RNAcentral. Lineage: Archaea; Methanobacteriati; Methanobacteriota; Methanomicrobia; Methanotrichales; Methanotrichaceae.